This is a non-coding RNA of Ancylostoma duodenale, 46 nucleotides long. The record is from Rfam. Lineage: Eukaryota; Metazoa; Nematoda; Chromadorea; Rhabditida; Ancylostomatidae.
CCAACGGCCCUCUUAAGGGCCACAAUUCAAGCUCACGAAUACCACA